This 462-nucleotide ribosomal RNA is filed under the name uncultured bacterium. RNAcentral's name for it is "bacterial SSU rRNA". It matches the Rfam family "Bacterial small subunit ribosomal RNA", at positions 29 to 506 of the family's 1533-position model. The record is from RNAcentral.
AUGAACGUUGGCGGCGUGGAUUAGGCAUGCAAGUCGAGCGCGAACCUCGCAAGAGGUAAGAGCGGCGAAAGGGAGAGUAACGCGUGGGUAUCUACCCUCGGGACUGGGAUAGCUGCGGGAAACUGCAGGUAAUACCAGAUGACGUCCCCGGACCAAAGGUGUGAUUCCGCCUGAGGAUGAGCCCGCGUCCUAUUAGCUAGUUGGUAGGGUAAUGGCCUACCAAGGCAAUGAUGGGUACUGGGUGUGAGAGCACGACCCAGCUCACUGGGACUGAGACACUGCCCAGACACCUACGGGUGGCUGCAGUCGAGAAUCUUCGGCAAUGGGCGCAAGCCUGACCGAGCGACGCCGCGUGUGGGAUGAAGGCCUUCGGGUUGUAAACCGCUGUCAGAGGGGAGGAAUGGGCGGAGGGUAAUCUCUUCGUUUUGACCUAUCCUCAGAGGAAGUACGGGCUAAGUUCGU